AAUGAACGCUGGCGGCAUGCCUUACACAUGCAAGUCGAACGGCAGCAUGACCUAGCUUGCUAGGUUGAUGGCGAGUGGCGCACGGGUGAGUAAUGCAUCGGAACGUGCCUUUUAGUGGGGGAUAACGUAGCGAAAGUUACGCUAAUACCGCAUAUUCUCUGAGGAGGAAAGCAGGGGACCUUCUGGCCUUGCGCUAGAAGAGCGGCCGAUGUCGGAUUAGCUAGUUGGUGGGGUAAAGGCUCACCAAGGCAACGAUCCGUAGCGGGUCUGAGAGGAUGAUCCGCCACACUGGGACUGAGACACGGCCCAGACUCCUACGGGAGGCAGCAGUGGGGAAUUUUGGACAAUGGGCGCAAGCCUGAUCCAGCCAUGCCGCGUGGGUGAAGAAGGCCUUCGGGUUGUAAAGCUCUUUCGGCUGGAAAGAAAUCGCACCCUCUAAUACAGGGUGUGGAUGACGGUACCAAAAUAAGAAGCACCGGCUAACUACGUG
This 490-nucleotide ribosomal RNA is filed under the name uncultured bacterium. RNAcentral describes it as "partial 16S ribosomal RNA". It matches the Rfam family "Bacterial small subunit ribosomal RNA", at positions 29 to 507 of the family's 1533-position model. The record is from RNAcentral.